This 1325-nucleotide ribosomal RNA is filed under the name uncultured Klebsiella sp. RNAcentral describes it as "bacterial SSU rRNA". It matches the Rfam family "Bacterial small subunit ribosomal RNA", at positions 46 to 1367 of the family's 1533-position model. The record is from RNAcentral. Lineage: Bacteria; Pseudomonadati; Pseudomonadota; Gammaproteobacteria; Enterobacterales; Enterobacteriaceae.
GCCUACCAUGCAAGUCGAGCGGUAGCACAGAGAGCUUGCUCUCGGGUGACGAGCGGCGGACGGGUGAGUAAUGUCUGGGAAACUGCCUGAUGGAGGGGGAUAACUACUGGAAACGGUAGCUAAUACCGCAUAACGUCGCAAGACCAAAGUGGGGGACCUUCGGGCCUCAUGCCAUCAGAUGUGCCCAGAUGGGAUUAGCUAGUAGGUGGGGUAACGGCUCACCUAGGCGACGAUCCCUAGCUGGUCUGAGAGGAUGACCAGCCACACUGGAACUGAGACACGGUCCAGACUCCUACGGGAGGCAGCAGUGGGGAAUAUUGCACAAUGGGCGCAAGCCUGAUGCAGCCAUGCCGCGUGUGUGAAGAAGGCCUUCGGGUUGUAAAGCACUUUCAGCGGGGAGGAAGGCGUUAAGGUUAAUAACCUUGGCGAUUGACGUUACCCGCAGAAGAAGCACCGGCUAACUCCGUGCCAGCAGCCGCGGUAAUACGGAGGGUGCAAGCGUUAAUCGGAAUUACUGGGCGUAAAGCGCACGCAGGCGGUCUGUCAAGUCGGAUGUGAAAUCCCCGGGCUCAACCUGGGAACUGCAUUCGAAACUGGCAGGCUAGAGUCUUGUAGAGGGGGGUAGAAUUCCAGGUGUAGCGGUGAAAUGCGUAGAGAUCUGGAGGAAUACCGGUGGCGAAGGCGGCCCCCUGGACAAAGACUGACGCUCAGGUGCGAAAGCGUGGGGAGCAAACAGGAUUAGAUACCCUGGUAGUCCACGCCGUAAACGAUGUCGAUUUGGAGGUUGUGCCCUUGAGGCGUGGCUUCCGGAGCUAACGCGUUAAAUCGACCGCCUGGGGAGUACGGCCGCAAGGUUAAAACUCAAAUGAAUUGACGGGGGCCCGCACAAGCGGUGGAGCAUGUGGUUUAAUUCGAUGCAACGCGAAGAACCUUACCUGGUCUUGACAUCCACAGAACUUUCCAGAGAUGGAUUGGUGCCUUCGGGAACUGUGAGACAGGUGCUGCAUGGCUGUCGUCAGCUCGUGUUGUGAAAUGUUGGGUUAAGUCCCGCAACGAGCGCAACCCUUAUCCUUUGUUGCCAGCGGUCCGGCCGGGAACUCAAAGGAGACUGCCAGUGAUAAACUGGAGGAAGGUGGGGAUGACGUCAAGUCAUCAUGGCCCUUACGACCAGGGCUACACACGUGCUACAAUGGCAUAUACAAAGAGAAGCGACCUCGCGAGAGCAAGCGGACCUCAUAAAGUAUGUCGUAGUCCGGAUUGGAGUCUGCAACUCGACUCCAUGAAGUCGGAAUCGCUAGUAAUCGUAGAUCAGAAUGCUACGGAAU